This 1231-nucleotide ribosomal RNA is filed under the name Yersinia mollaretii. RNAcentral's name for it is "partial 23S ribosomal RNA". It matches the Rfam family "Bacterial large subunit ribosomal RNA", at positions 390 to 1622 of the family's 2925-position model. Lineage: Bacteria; Pseudomonadati; Pseudomonadota; Gammaproteobacteria; Enterobacterales; Yersiniaceae. The record is from RNAcentral.
ACACCUUCUGUGAACUCGAUGAGUAGGGCGGGACACGUGACAUCCUGUCUGAAUAUGGGGGGACCAUCCUCCAAGGCUAAAUACUCCUGACUGACCGAUAGUGAACCAGUACCGUGAGGGAAAGGCGAAAAGAACCCCGGCGAGGGGAGUGAAAUAGAACCUGAAACCGUGUACGUACAAGCAGUGGGAGCACCUUCGUGGUGUGACUGCGUACCUUUUGUAUAAUGGGUCAGCGACUUAUAUUUUGUAGCAAGGUUAACCGAAUAGGGGAGCCGUAGGGAAACCGAGUCUUAACUGGGCGUCUAGUUGCAAGGUAUAGACCCGAAACCCGGUGAUCUAGCCAUGGGCAGGUUGAAGGUUGGGUAACACUAACUGGAGGACCGAACCGACUAAUGUUGAAAAAUUAGCGGAUGACUUGUGGCUGGGGGUGAAAGGCCAAUCAAACCGGGAGAUAGCUGGUUCUCCCCGAAAGCUAUUUAGGUAGCGCCUCGUGAACUCAUCUUCGGGGGUAGAGCACUGUUUCGGCUAGGGGGUCAUCCCGACUUACCAAACCGAUGCAAACUCCGAAUACCGAAGAAUGUUAUCACGGGAGACACACGGCGGGUGCUAACGUCCGUCGUGAAGAGGGAAACAACCCAGACCGCCAGCUAAGGUCCCAAAGUCAUGGUUAAGUGGGAAACGAUGUGGGAAGGCAUAGACAGCCAGGAUGUUGGCUUAGAAGCAGCCAUCAUUUAAAGAAAGCGUAAUAGCUCACUGGUCGAGUCGGCCUGCGCGGAAGAUGUAACGGGGCUAAACCAUGCACCGAAGCUGCGGCAGCGACACUUAGGUGUUGUUGGGUAGGGGAGCGUUCUGUAAGCCGUUGAAGGUGGCCUGUGAGGGCUGCUGGAGGUAUCAGAAGUGCGAAUGCUGACAUAAGUAACGAUAAUGCGGGUGAAAAACCCGCACGCCGGAAGACCAAGGGUUCCUGUCCAACGUUAAUCGGGGCAGGGUGAGUCGACCCCUAAGGCGAGGCUGAAAAGCGUAGUCGAUGGGAAACAGGUUAAUAUUCCUGUACUGGGUGUUACUGCGAAGGGGGGACGGAGAAGGCUAGGCUAGCCGGGCGACGGUUGUCCCGGUUUAAGCAUGUAGGCGGAGUGACUUGGUAAAUCCGGUUACUUAUCAACGCUGAGGUGUGAUGACGAUGCACUACGGUGCAGAAGUAGUUGAUGCCAAGCUUCCAGGAAAAGCCUCU